This 286-nucleotide ribosomal RNA is filed under the name uncultured prokaryote. Its description in RNAcentral is "partial 16S ribosomal RNA". It matches the Rfam family "Bacterial small subunit ribosomal RNA", at positions 524 to 819 of the family's 1533-position model. The record is from RNAcentral.
UACGUAGGGGGCAAGCGUUGUCCGGAAUUACUGGGCGUAAAGGGAGCGCAGGCGGUCUUUUAAGUAGGAUGUGAAAUACCCGGGCUUAACCUGGGGGGUGCAUCCUAAACUGGGGGACUUGAGUGCAGGAGAGGAAAGUGGAAUUCCUAGUGUAGCGGUGAAAUGCGUAGAUAUUAGGAGGAACACCAGUGGCGAAGGCGGCUAUCUGGACAGUAACUGACGCUGAGGCGCGAAAGCGUGGGGAGCAAACAGGAUUAGAUACCCGGGUAGUCCCUGAGCGGGCUGG